Molecule: ribosomal RNA, 40 nt
Filed under: Nanocnide japonica
Lineage: Eukaryota; Viridiplantae; Streptophyta; Magnoliopsida; Rosales; Urticaceae
Description: partial 28S rRNA
Source: RNAcentral
GGCUACCCCGCUGAGUUUAAGCAUAUCAAUAAGCGGAGGA